RNAcentral lists this ribosomal RNA (447 nucleotides) under uncultured bacterium. RNAcentral describes it as "bacterial SSU rRNA". It matches the Rfam family "Bacterial small subunit ribosomal RNA", at positions 355 to 825 of the family's 1533-position model. The record is from RNAcentral.
UGGGGAAUAUUGAACAAUGGGCGAAAGCCUGAUCCAGCCAUGCCGCGUGAGUGAUGAAGGCCCUAGGGUUGUAAAGCUCUUUCACCGGUGAAGAUAAUGACGGUACCCGCAGAAUAAGCCCCGGCUAACUUCGUGCCAGCAGCCGCGGUAAUACGGAGGGAGCUAGCGUUGUUCGGAAUUACUGGGCGUAAAGCGUACGUAGGCGGUGACUCAAGUCAGAGGUGAAAGCCUGGAGCUCAACUCCAGAACUGCCUUUGAAACUAGGUCGCUAGAAUCACGGAGAGGUGAGUGGAAUUCCGAGUGUAGAGGUGAAAUUCGUAGAUAUUCGGAAGAACACCAGUGGCGAAGGCGGCUCACUGGACGUGUAUUGACGCUGAGGUACGAAAGCGUGGGGAGCAAACAGGAUUAGAUACCCUAGUAGUCCCUGAGCGGGCUGGCAAGGCGCAU